CAGAGAGUAGUUUAAGAAAAAUUUAGGUUUUGGAAAUCUAAGAUGCCUUAUAGGUCUUUCUGA
This 63-nucleotide transfer RNA is filed under the name Striatobalanus tenuis. Its description in RNAcentral is "tRNA-Pro". The record is from RNAcentral. Lineage: Eukaryota; Metazoa; Arthropoda; Thecostraca; Balanomorpha; Balanidae.